RNAcentral lists this long non-coding RNA (1119 nucleotides) under Marmota monax (woodchuck). Lineage: Eukaryota; Metazoa; Chordata; Mammalia; Rodentia; Sciuridae. The record is from RNAcentral.
AUUUAGAUGAAUGAGCACCCACAGUGGAUGCUCAGGAGGGCAGGUGUGGGUUGAGCAGCUCCAAGAAGGGCCCGGCUGCUAUCUUCACAUAGGCAGAAGCAUGCCCUGCCCUGUGCUGCAGCAGGCUUCCUGGGAGGUGCUUUGGUCUCUGUUGCAUUAGACAGCUACGUGGGUGCCCAUAGGGAUGUGUCUCCAGGGCAUUUGCUCACAGGGCAUCUCCGGAUCUGUUAGCAGGGGUGUGAGCACAGCUUGCUGUUACAGGGCAGUCUGCAUACAUGGCAUCAUGACACAAGGCAGAGUGAAGUCAGCAGUACUGUCCUAGCAGGGGCUCUCUGGAGGUAUAUACUCAUCUCUGUGCUAUCCCCAGGGCUGCUAGGGUCAUCUUUAAGGCUUACUUUUGUAUCCUGAAGUCUGAAGCUAGGCAGCAUUAGUUAGAUACUUGUUAAGAGGAAAGAAUGGCUACCUCUGGGUUAGGGGCUGAGGAGGUCUCCCAGAGGAGCCGGUAUUCCAGCCGAGUGUCAUCCUCUCUCUUACUCUCUCACUCUGUCUCUCUCUUUUUACCUCAGGUUCCUCUACCACUGAGGUCUAUCUCCAGACUUUUGCGUUAGGUUUUGAGACAGGGUGUCACUAAGUUGCCCUGGCCAGUCUCAAACUUGUGAUCCUACCUCAUUCUCUAAAGUACAUGGAAUUACAGCUGUGCCUGGCUUUAGAUACAUCUUGAGUUAAGAGGAUUUUGUUGAAUGGGACCUGGGGAGGGCAACCUGAGAGGGUUAGAUAGAGCCCAGGGACUUAAAGAGGGUUUUUGGCUGGAGCAGAACCAUUUGUAGAGUGAGGCUAUAUGAUAGGAGGCCAUGUAACUGGAUGGGGCCCAACUUAUAAGGUUGGGCAAAGGAGUGAACUGUACGCUGAUCACUGCAAUCAGUGCCUUCACUUGGGUUUCACUGUGAGCAAUUGUCCUGGCAAGUUGUCGGUUUUCUUCCUAGGAAAAUUAAUUGAUCAUCUCAUUUGGCCACUCAGCUGUCUGGCAAAAUGUUGUGUUUCUCUGGUGGGCCAGGGGUAUGUAGACAACAGGGGUUCAGAGAUGAUGAGGUGCAGCCUCUGUGGCUCAGGAGCAGCCUU